AGUGAACGCUGGCGGUAGGCCUAACACAUGCAAGUCGAACGGCAGCACAGUAAGAGCUUGCUCUUACGGGUGGCGAGUGGCGGACGGGUGAGGAAUACAUCGGAAUCUACUUUUUCGUGGGGGAUAACGUAGGGAAACUUACGCUAAUACCGCAUACGACCUACGGGUGAAAGCAGGGGAUCUUCGGACCUUGCGCGAUUGAAUGAGCCGAUGUCGGAUUAGCUAGUUGGCGGGGUAAGGGCCCACCCAGGCGACGAUCCGUAGCUGGUCUGAGAGGAUGAUCAGCCACACUGGAACUGAGACACGGUCCAGACUCCUACGGGAGGCAGCAGUCGGGAAUAUUGGACAAUGGGCGCAAGCCUGAUCCAGCCAUACCGCGUGGGUGAAGAAGGCCUUCGGGUUGUAAAGCCCUUUUGUUGGGAAAGAAAAGCAGCAGGUUAAUACCCCGCUGUUCUGACGGUACCCAAAGAAUAAGCACCGGCUAACUUCGUG
This 492-nucleotide ribosomal RNA is filed under the name uncultured bacterium. Its description in RNAcentral is "partial 16S ribosomal RNA". It matches the Rfam family "Bacterial small subunit ribosomal RNA", at positions 29 to 507 of the family's 1533-position model. The record is from RNAcentral.